UCCAGACUCCUACGGGAGGCAGCAGUGGGGAAUAUUGGGCAAUGGGCGCAAGCCUGACCCAGCAACGCCGCGUGAAGGAAGAAGGCUUUCGGGUUGUAAACUUCUUUUAAGGGGGAAGAGCAGAAGACGGUACCCCUUGAAUAAGCCACGGCUAACUACGUGCCAGCAGCCGCGGUAAUACGUAGGUGGCAAGCGUUGUCCGGAUUUACUGGGUGUAAAGGGCGUGCAGCCGGGACUGCAAGUCAGAUGUGAAAUCCGCGGGCUUAACCCGCGAACUGCAUUUGAAACUGCGGAUCUUGAGUACCGGAGAGGUUAUCGGAAUUCCUUGUGUAGCGGUGAAAUGCGUAGAUAUAAGGAAGAACACCAGUGGCGAAGGCGGAUUACUGGACGAUAACUGACGGUGAGGCGCGAAAGCGUGGGGAGCAAACAGGAUUAGAUACCCCAGUAC
RNAcentral lists this ribosomal RNA (448 nucleotides) under uncultured bacterium. RNAcentral's name for it is "bacterial SSU rRNA". It matches the Rfam family "Bacterial small subunit ribosomal RNA", at positions 330 to 793 of the family's 1533-position model. The record is from RNAcentral.